RNAcentral lists this small RNA (2073 nucleotides) under Pongo abelii (Sumatran orangutan). RNAcentral describes it as "processed transcript". Lineage: Eukaryota; Metazoa; Chordata; Mammalia; Primates; Hominidae. The record is from RNAcentral.
UUUGGUUUAAAUGUCAAUAGCUUCAGAUGGGUAACUUUUAUUUCUCAUUCCAGAUGGAUUAAUUAAUAGGUAUUCUAAUAUGUUAUUGUAUUCUUUAAUUCAAAAAUCUAUUUCCUAUCUCCACCUCACCCACCCUUAAUUUCUGAAAUGGGGAUGCAUUUCGUAAUGGAUAAAAAUGUACUUAUAUAUUUGUUAUGUCUAAAAAACAUUAAGGCAAAGUUAUACACUAUAACUGGUAGAAUCCUAGAAUCAAAGAGAAAAGAGUAUGCUGAAGAUAAGCAUACAUCACAGUAGCAAGAGAAGGAUCAACAGUUUUAAUUUUUUGUUUUCUCUCUCCCAUUUCACAAUAACCCUCUUAGUUUUCUUUAUCAAAGGUCCUCUGAAAUAAAUAAUGCAGUUCUUUGCCAUGACUGUCUUUGGCACAUAAAAGAUGUCACUGUAAAAUUUCUUUCAUGAUGCUACAGGUUGAGCUCUUUAAGUGAGCAACACUAGGCUAGUUGGAAGCUUAUCAAGGAUUCAUCAGUGGAGAAAUAUCCUUUUGAUAAUACAUGUAAUAAAAUUACUUGAAGUGCUUAGACUUAGGUCUUGUUUAUUAAACAUGAGUGGAGGUUUCAGGCAUCCUUGUAAACUUUCUUCUGUUUCAGGACUUGCUCAUAAAUUGCUGAGAGGCACGUGUGUCGCAAUGAAACUUUGCCGUCUUUAAGUCUGAGGUGCUCUGUCUCAGGCAUAAAGAACAAUACACAACAAUUGUUUGCCGUUAUCUUAAUCUAAAGCUGUAGUUUCAUUGAAAAUGAACAGGCCAUGACUUUUUACCAAAUGCUUCCAGCCUUCCCUUAUCUGAUAGACCAUCUUUUGGAAACAACCAGGUGGAUGUUAAUGGGUGAAAUAAUUCACUAAAAACAGUUAAUUCAAAAUCAUUGUUUUGGCAUCCAAAUCCAAAAGCCUUUUUACUGUUUCUAAUGUUGAAUCACACUACAGAUCUUUGAGAAAGUUGGUAACAUUACAGUUCAUUUAAAGAAAAUGUUGUGGGUACAUCUCCUUUCUGGUUUAUUUAGCUUAUUCUUUAUAACAGUUUUUUUAAUUAGAGAACAUUCCUGUAUGAAUGAUUCAUGGUGCCCUCUUUUCUCCCCACCUUCUACCUUUUUAGAUCAUGAAUCGGUUCAGUGGUGUUAUGACAACUUCAUUAACUACAGGUCCCUGAUGUCCGCAGACAAUGUACGCCAGCAGCUAUCUCGAAUUAUGGACAGAUUUAAUUUGCCUCGUCGAAGUACUGACUUUACAAGCAGGGACUAUUAUAUUAAUAUAAGAAAAGCUUUGGUUACUGGGUAUUUUAUGCAGGUGGCACAUUUAGAACGAACAGGGCAUUACUUAACUGUGAAAGAUAACCAGGUGGUUCAGUUGCAUCCCUCUACUGUUCUUGACCACAAACCUGAAUGGGUGCUUUAUAAUGAGUUUGUUCUAACAACAAAGAAUUACAUCCGGACAUGUACAGAUAUCAAGCCAGAAUGGUUGGUGAAAAUUGCCCCUCAAUAUUAUGACAUGAGCAAUUUCCCACAGUGCGAAGCAAAGAGACAGUUGGACCGCAUCAUUGCCAAACUUCAAUCCAAGGAAUAUUCACAGUACUGAAUUCAGUGCUUAGAACUGAAGUUAUUGAGAGGACAGCUUUAAAAGAUGAAUGAACUCAAAAGUUCGAGUUGUGCUCUUCACGUUGGUUCGAUAAUGGCCUUUAUUUGAAAGCUUUUUAAUUUUUCUUUACAGUAAAUAUUCCAUUCUGAUUUCAUAAAUUAAACAUUUAUGCCUCCCUUUUGUGUUGACACUGUAGCUCAUACUGGAAAAGUCGAUCAAUGUUUUGCAGUUUAUUGAAAGUAGUUCUAUAUAUAACAAUGUUAUAAGCAUUUCUUUAGAAAUGGUUGAAAAUGCUUCUAAAAUGUGAUUAUCGACCAUGGUAUGCAUGAUCGUUGUAAUUGUUGACAUUCCUUUUAGAAGUUGUGAAAUGUUACAACUUGUGCUUAUGUAGACACAAUCUUCUGUCUCAGUACAGAGGCACUGACUUCAAUAAAGUCUAUUUAUACU